GGUUAAGUUAGUAAGGGCGCACGGUGGAUGCCUUGGCACUAGGAGCCGAAGAAGGACGUGACAAACGACGAAAUGCCUCGGGGAGCUGUAAGUAAGCGACGAUCCGUGGAUG
RNAcentral lists this ribosomal RNA (112 nucleotides) under Streptococcus gordonii. RNAcentral describes it as "partial 23S ribosomal RNA". It matches the Rfam family "Bacterial large subunit ribosomal RNA", at positions 1 to 112 of the family's 2925-position model. The record is from RNAcentral. Lineage: Bacteria; Bacillati; Bacillota; Bacilli; Lactobacillales; Streptococcaceae.